CACCGCGGUUAUACGAGAGGCCCAAGUUGAUAAAUGCCGGCGUAAAAAGUGGUUAGUUACACAAUCUACUAAAGCCAAACAUCUUCAAAACUGUCAUACGUUCUCGAGGACAGGAAGCUCUUCUACGAAAGUGGCUUUAAAUUAUACACUCCACGAAAGCUAGGAAA
RNAcentral lists this ribosomal RNA (167 nucleotides) under Sicyopterus pugnans. RNAcentral's name for it is "partial small subunit ribosomal RNA". The record is from RNAcentral. Lineage: Eukaryota; Metazoa; Chordata; Actinopteri; Gobiiformes; Gobiidae.